RNAcentral lists this ribosomal RNA (253 nucleotides) under uncultured bacterium. RNAcentral's name for it is "partial 16S ribosomal RNA". It matches the Rfam family "Bacterial small subunit ribosomal RNA", at positions 524 to 776 of the family's 1533-position model. The record is from RNAcentral.
GACAGAGGGUGCAAACGUUGCUCGGAUUUACUGGGCGUAAAGGGCGCGUAGGCGGUUUGCUAAGUUGGAUGUGAAAACUCUGGGCUUAACCCAGAGCCUGCAUCCAAAACUGGCAAACUUGAGUACUGGAGGGGAAAGCGGAAUUCCUGGUGUAGCGGUGAAAUGCGUAGAUAUCAGGAGGAACACCGGUGGCGAAGGCGGCUUUCUGGACAGUAACUGACGCUGAGGCGCGAAAGCUAGGGGAGCAAACAGG